CGUAGGGGCAAGCGUUAUCCGGAUUUACUGGGUGUAAAGGGAGCGUAGACGGCGAUGCAAGUCUGAAGUGAAAUACCCGGGCUCAACCUGGGAACUGCUUUGGAAACUGUAUGGCUAGAGUGCUGGAGAGGUAAGCGGAAUUCCUAGUGUAGCGGUGAAAUGCGUAGAUAUUAGGAAGAACACCAGUGGCGAAGGCGGCUUACUGGACAGUAACUGACGUUCAGGCUCGAAAGCGUGGGGAGCAAACAGGAUU
Molecule: ribosomal RNA, 253 nt
Filed under: uncultured bacterium
Lineage: Bacteria
Description: partial 16S ribosomal RNA
Rfam family: Bacterial small subunit ribosomal RNA
Source: RNAcentral